AAUGAAAAUAAUUUUAAGUCMAAUCUGCUCCAUGAAAUUUUAAAUAGCUGCAGAAUUUUAACUGUACAAAGGUAGCAUAAUCAAUAGUUUUUUAAUUAAAAGCUGGAAUGAAUGAUUUAAUAAGGUAAAUAUUGUYUCAAAUUUAAUAAAUUUAGAAUUUUUUUUUUUGUAAAAAAGCAAAAAUGAAUUUAAAAGACGAGAAGACCCUAUAGAUUUUUAUAAUUUUUAGUUAAAAAAAUUGAAAAUAAAUAAUAAAUUUUAAUCAAGAAUUAUUUAAUUGGGGAAAUUAUUAAAUUUAAUUAAUUUUAAUAUAAUUAAAACAAGAAUUAUUGAAUGUAUGAUUUUUUUUUAAAAAUUAAUAGAAUAAAUUACCUUAGGGAUAACAGCGUAAUUUUUUUGAAGAGAUCAUAUUGAUAAAAAAGUUUGCGACCUCGAUGUUGAAUUAAGAUAAAAUUUUAAUGUAGAAGUUAAAAAGUUUA
Molecule: ribosomal RNA, 479 nt
Filed under: Mesostenus transfuga
Lineage: Eukaryota; Metazoa; Arthropoda; Insecta; Hymenoptera; Ichneumonidae
Description: partial 16S large subunit ribosomal RNA
Source: RNAcentral